Molecule: long non-coding RNA, 1092 nt
Filed under: Homo sapiens (human)
Lineage: Eukaryota; Metazoa; Chordata; Mammalia; Primates; Hominidae
Description: non-protein coding lnc-ERI1-32:12
Source: RNAcentral
AUUGCGCAUGCGGGAAACCCACGCUGAGGGAAGAAUCAUGGGAAAGAGGUGAGCCUGUAAAGUUUUAGGAUCAAGGUUAAAGGCCCUUUUUUGCUCUCUUCUCUCUUGGACCUUCAGGCGACGGCUUGGGUAUCUUCCAAGCGAAUUUUCCUUUCUUUCCUGUUCUUUUUUUUUUUUGAGACGGAGUCUUGCUCUGUCGCCCAGGCUGGAGUGCAGUGGCGUGAUGUCGGCUCACUGCAAGCUCCGCCUCCCGGGUUCACGCCAUUCUCCUGCUUCAGCCUCCUGAGUAGCUGGGGCUACAGGCGCCCGCCACCACGCCCGGCUAAUUUUUUUGUAUUUUUUUUUUUAGUAGAGACGGGGUUCCACCGUGUUAGCCAGGAUGGUCUCGAUUUCCUGACCUCGUCAUCCUCCCGCCUUGGCCUCCCAAAGUGCUGGGAUUACAGGCUUGAGCCACCGCGCCCCGCUCUUUCGUGUUCCAAAGGCUUUUUAAAUAAACUUCCACUCCUGUCCUGGAUUCUGCUUUAUGGCCCUCAGUCGAAUUCUUUCUUCUGAGGAGGCAAGGACUGAAGUUGCUUCUGACCAGUACAGGUACGCCGCAGAUUGGGAAGGAGAAAGUCACUUGACUCACAGGCCAACUGCUAUGGACUGAAUUGUGUCUUCCCCUCAUUAAUAUGUUGAAACCCUAUCCUCCCUCCAAUGUGAUGGUAUUUGCAGAUGGGGCUUUUGGGAAGUAAUGAAGUUUAGAUGAGGCAUGAGGGCUGGAUGGAUAUGAUCAGAUGAGUGCCCAAAGAAGAGACACCAGAGAGCUAGCUUCUUCUUUCUCUUUCCACCUUUACACACUGAGAAAAGGCCAAGUGAGCACACACCAAGAAGGCAGCCAUCUGCAAACCCAAGGAGAGAGUCCUCACUAGACACCCUGCUGGUACCUUGAUCUUGGACUUCUAGCCUCCAGAACUGUGAGAAAUAAAUUCCUGUUGUUCAAGCUAGUAUUAAUACCUGGUGUUUUGUUAUGGCAGCCUAAGUGACUAAGACACCAACUUAAUUUACUUAGCCAGGGUCAAUCAGUGGUAGGGCCCAGGAUUCUGACCCAGU